Molecule: ribosomal RNA, 2000 nt
Filed under: Pseudomonas aeruginosa
Lineage: Bacteria; Pseudomonadati; Pseudomonadota; Gammaproteobacteria; Pseudomonadales; Pseudomonadaceae
Description: bacterial LSU rRNA
Rfam family: Bacterial large subunit ribosomal RNA
Source: RNAcentral
CGAUGCAAACUCCGAAUACCCAGAAGUGCCGAGCAUGGGAGACACACGGCGGGUGCUAACGUCCGUCGUGAAAAGGGAAACAACCCAGACCGCCAGCUAAGGUCCCAAAGUUGUGGUUAAGUGGUAAACGAUGUGGGAAGGCUUAGACAGCUAGGAGGUUGGCUUAGAAGCAGCCAUCCUUUAAAGAAAGCGUAAUAGCUCACUAGUCGAGUCGGCCUGCGCGGAAGAUGUAACGGGGCUCAAACCACACACCGAAGCUGCGGGUGUCACGUAAGUGACGCGGUAGAGGAGCGUUCUGUAAGCCUGUGAAGGUGAGUUGAGAAGCUUGCUGGAGGUAUCAGAAGUGCGAAUGCUGACAUGAGUAACGACAAUGGGUGUGAAAAACACCCACGCCGAAAGACCAAGGGUUCCUGCGCAACGUUAAUCGACGCAGGGUUAGUCGGUUCCUAAGGCGAGGCUGAAAAGCGUAGUCGAUGGGAAACAGGUUAAUAUUCCUGUACUUCUGGUUACUGCGAUGGAGGGACGGAGAAGGCUAGGCCAGCUUGGCGUUGGUUGUCCAAGUUUAAGGUGGUAGGCUGAAAUCUUAGGUAAAUCCGGGGUUUCAAGGCCGAGAGCUGAUGACGAGUCGUCUUUUAGAUGACGAAGUGGUUGAUGCCAUGCUUCCAAGAAAAGCUUCUAAGCUUCAGGUAACCAGGAACCGUACCCCAAACCGACACAGGUGGUCGGGUAGAGAAUACCAAGGCGCUUGAGAGAACUCGGGUGAAGGAACUAGGCAAAAUGGCACCGUAACUUCGGGAGAAGGUGCGCCGGCUAGGGUGAAGGAUUUACUCCGUAAGCUCUGGCUGGUCGAAGAUACCAGGCCGCUGCGACUGUUUAUUAAAAACACAGCACUCUGCAAACACGAAAGUGGACGUAUAGGGUGUGACGCCUGCCCGGUGCCGGAAGGUUAAUUGAUGGGGUUAGCGCAAGCGAAGCUCUUGAUCGAAGCCCCGGUAAACGGCGGCCGUAACUAUAACGGUCCUAAGGUAGCGAAAUUCCUUGUCGGGUAAGUUCCGACCUGCACGAAUGGCGUAACGAUGGCGGCGCUGUCUCCACCCGAGACUCAGUGAAAUUGAAAUCGCUGUGAAGAUGCAGUGUAUCCGCGGCUAGACGGAAAGACCCCGUGAACCUUUACUGUAGCUUUGCACUGGACUUUGAGCCUGCUUGUGUAGGAUAGGUGGGAGGCUUUGAAGCGUGGACGCCAGUUCGCGUGGAGCCAUCCUUGAAAUACCACCCUGGCAUGCUUGAGGUUCUAACUCUGGUCCGUGAUCCGGAUCGAGGACAGUGUAUGGUGGGCAGUUUGACUGGGGCGGUCUCCUCCUAAAGAGUAACGGAGGAGUACGAAGGUGCGCUCAGACCGGUCGGAAAUCGGUCGCAGAGUAUAAAGGCAAAAGCGCGCUUGACUGCGAGACAGACACGUCGAGCAGGUACGAAAGUAGGUCUUAGUGAUCCGGUGGUUCUGUAUGGAAGGGCCAUCGCUCAACGGAUAAAAGGUACUCCGGGGAUAACAGGCUGAUACCGCCCAAGAGUUCAUAUCGACGGCGGUGUUUGGCACCUCGAUGUCGGCUCAUCACAUCCUGGGGCUGAAGCCGGUCCCAAGGGUAUGGCUGUUCGCCAUUUAAAGUGGUACGCGAGCUGGGUUUAGAACGUCGUGAGACAGUUCGGUCUCUAUCUGCCGUGGACGUUUGAGAUUUGAGAGGGGCUGCUCCUAGUACGAGAGGACCGGAGUGGACGAACCUCUGGUGUUCCGGUUGUCACGCCAGUGGCAUUGCCGGGUAGCUAUGUUCGGAAAAGAUAACCGCUGAAAGCAUCUAAGCGGGAAACUUGCCUCAAGAUGAGAUCUCACUGGGAACUUGAUUCCCCUGAAGGGCCGUCGAAGACUACGACGUUGAUAGGCUGGGUGUGUAAGCGUUGUGAGGCGUUGAGCUAACCAGUACUAAUUGCCCGUGAGGCUUGACCAU